Molecule: ribosomal RNA, 483 nt
Filed under: uncultured bacterium
Lineage: Bacteria
Description: SSU rRNA
Rfam family: Bacterial small subunit ribosomal RNA
Source: RNAcentral
AGGAUAAACGCUGGCGGCGUGCCUAACACAUGCAAGUCGAACGCCCUUUUGCUCGCAAGAGCCAGAGGGAGUGGCGGACGGGUGAGUAACACAUGGGUAACCUACCCCCCAGUGAGGAAUACCGGCGAGAAAUCGCCGACAAGACCGCAUAGGCUCGGUCCGGUGAAGCGGAGCGAGCAAAGUCUCGCAAGAGACGCUGAGGGAUGGGCCUGUGGCCGAUUAGCUAGUUGGUAAGGUAAAGGCUUACCAAGGCGACGAUCGGUAGCUGGUCUGAGAGGACGAACAGCCACACUGGGAUUGAGAACGGCCCAGACUCCUACGGGGGCAGCAGUGAGGAAUUUUCCGCAAUGGACGCAAGUCUGACGGAGCAACGCCGCGUGCAGGAGGACGCUUUUCGGAGUGUAAACUGCUUUUCUGUGGGACGAGCGAGGACGGUACCACAGGAAGAAGCCCCGGCUAACUACGUGCCAGCAGCCGCGGUAA